RNAcentral lists this ribosomal RNA (379 nucleotides) under uncultured bacterium. RNAcentral describes it as "partial 16S ribosomal RNA". It matches the Rfam family "Bacterial small subunit ribosomal RNA", at positions 338 to 733 of the family's 1533-position model. The record is from RNAcentral.
CCUACGGGUGGCAGCAGUGGGGAAUAUUGCACAAUGGGGGAAACCCUGAUGCAGCAACGCCGCGUGAGUGAAGAAGUAUUUCGGUAUGUAAACCUCUAUCAGCAGGGAAGAAGAAAAACGGUACCUGACUAAGAAGCCCCGGCUAACGACGUGCAAGCAGCCGCGGUAAUACGGAGGGGGCAAGCGUUAUCCGGAUUUACUGGGUGUAAAGGGAGCGUAGACGGCUGUGCAAGUCUGAAGUGAAAGCCCAUGGCUAAACCGCGGAACUGCUUUGGAAACUGUAUAGCUUGAGUACUGGAGAGGUAGGCGGAAUUCUUAGUGUAGCGGUGAAAUGCGUAGAUAUUAGGAGGAACACUAGUGGCGAAGGCGACCUGCUGGA